UCAUCAUCAACAGACUGACCUUGGUCUGGAGCGACCUUAUCACCUGGAGAUGAUUUUAUUCUUGAAUCAGUGCUAGUGCAAGAGUGCUCAGCAACAGUGAUGUUUCUUUGUGGAGAAGGAGAUGGGGAAGCCAUAUCUGAUUUGGACAUCUCACCAGCAGCCACACUAGCAAGCAGGUUCAUUCCAACAUCAUCCCCAACAGACAAAGAUGCAUUUGCUUCAGAGUAUUUGACACAACUAUCAAUCAAAGCAUUUAUGGGGCUGAAAGAAGCAUCAUGCAAUUUCCCAGAUUUAUGUUCAUUUCCAGAUGAUGAGGAAGCUGCUUUCAAGACUUCUGUUAAUUUCCUAGCGUCUUCACCAGUUCUGCAGUUAUCCACAUCGGGAAUAGCGGCAGGUGAACCAUCUCCCUCAUCAGAACCAGUCAGCAUCUCUUUGAAAUCAUUGCUUUGCCAUGACU
RNAcentral lists this unclassified non-coding RNA (457 nucleotides) under Hevea brasiliensis (rubber tree). The record is from RNAcentral. Lineage: Eukaryota; Viridiplantae; Streptophyta; Magnoliopsida; Malpighiales; Euphorbiaceae.